GCAUGUGGCUCAGUUGGUAGUGUGCUUGCCUCGCAUGCCCAAGGCCUUGGGUUCGAUCCCCAGCACUGCA
RNAcentral lists this transfer RNA (70 nucleotides) under Mus musculus (house mouse). RNAcentral describes it as "tRNA-Ala". The record is from RNAcentral. Lineage: Eukaryota; Metazoa; Chordata; Mammalia; Rodentia; Muridae.